RNAcentral lists this transfer RNA (74 nucleotides) under Candidatus Woesearchaeota archaeon. RNAcentral describes it as "tRNA-Pro". It matches the Rfam family "tRNA". From Rfam's summary of the family: Transfer RNA (tRNA) molecules are approximately 80 nucleotides in length. Their secondary structure includes four short double-helical elements and three loops (D, anti-codon, and T loops). The record is from RNAcentral. Lineage: Archaea; Nanobdellati; Candidatus Woesearchaeota.
GGGGUCAUCGGCGAGCUUGGCUAGGCUUCGAGGUUUGGGACCUUGCGACCCAGGUUCAAAUCCUGGUGACCCCA